Molecule: long non-coding RNA, 1448 nt
Filed under: Pan paniscus (pygmy chimpanzee)
Lineage: Eukaryota; Metazoa; Chordata; Mammalia; Primates; Hominidae
Description: lncRNA (ENSPPAG00000045253.1)
Source: RNAcentral
GCUAUACAGAUGCAGGUGGAAACUACUGGUGUGAAGUUAUCCUGUGAACAAAUAAAGUUGACUUCCUAAAAUUUCCCUGUUCAAAUAGUUGUUGACAUAUCCUUGAAGAUUUUUAAAAGAAUGAUCUAUAAACACCGCACUUCAGAGUUAUGUUUGCAAAGCCAUCUAUUAUGUUUACAAAGAAGAUCUUGAGGUAGGAAUCUCUGGGUUCUGCAGGUGCUGCGUGAACCCCAGCAGGGCCAUUCCAGAUGCUCCACAGGACAGCGCUGAACGCACCGCAGUGAGCCUGGGAGGCCCUGGGCUACUGCUGCCUCCCCUUCUCUGGGCUGAACAUCAAGAAACCUCAAACCUGAGACAUGGUGGGAAAUCAGGAAGACAUGAGGCUUUGCUCAACACUGGAGAACACCAGUUCUUUUCAGUUUGUAUGCAUCUUUAUCAGCAUGGCCAUGACGUGUGUAAGGCAUUUCCAAGGGUGAGAUUUCCUCUGAAAUGUCCAAAGAAGUCAACCGCAUUUCAAAAACUACCACAAACUAAAUUAAAAGGCAAAUAUCACAAUUUAUUCUCAUAUUAGGUUUUUGAGUGAAAGAUUGGAUUCUAAUCUCAGUUCUGCCAUUUCUUCACUGGGGGUUUUGUUUUAAUCUUAGUUUCUCCAUUUUUCCUCCCUUCCUUCCUUUCUCUCUCCUUUUCUUCUUCUCUUCCCUCCUUCCUAUGUGGUUUGGCUGUGUCCUCACCCAAAUCUCAUCUUGAAUUGUAGUUUCCAUAAUCCCCAAGUGUGGUGAGAGGGACCUAGUGGGAGGUAAUUGAAUUAUGGGGGUGGUUUCCCCCAGGCUAUUCUUGUGAUAGUAAGUUACCACGAGAGCUGAUGGUUUUACAAGGGGCUUCCCCCUACGCUUGGCUCUCAUUCUUCUCUCUCUUGCCACUUGGGAAGAAGGAUGUGUUUGCUUUCCUUCCACCAUGAUUGUAAGUUUCCUGAGCCCUCCCCAGCCCUGCAGAACUGUGAGCCAAUUUAAUUUAUUUCCUUUAUAAAUUACCCAGUCUCUGUCCUUAUAGCAACAUGAGAAUGGACUAAUACACCUUUCAUUAAAUUAGCACUUAUCUCAACAGUUGAAAUGUUUUUACAAAGGUUUUGAAGCAUUAAAGAUAAUGAGUUAUUAAGAACUAGAUAUUUGAUUUAAGGAUCACACUUUUUUGCUCUUUUGACUCCAUAUCAACAUUCUGCAGUUGGUAGGGCUCCUCCCAUUAUCUCCAUUACCCAGAUGGGGAAACUCUUUAAAUGCCUCUCUUAAGAUCCACUGUGUGAUUUAGUAAAAUAUUGGGUCUAGAACCCAUAUCAUUAACUUGCACCUGUCUGUGAAAUCUGUGAACUUCUGGUGCCGAUGAUAUUAUGAAUCCCUCCAAGUAGAGGCGUGGUCUUCAGUCACCCAGAGGAGGUGUUCCAAACACCACUG